Molecule: ribosomal RNA, 515 nt
Filed under: uncultured bacterium
Lineage: Bacteria
Description: partial 16S ribosomal RNA
Rfam family: Bacterial small subunit ribosomal RNA
Source: RNAcentral
GACGAACGCUGGCGGCGUGCCUAAUACAUGCAAGUCGAGCGGACUUUCAAGAAGCUUGCUUUUUGAAAGUUAGCGGCGGACGGGUGAGUAACACGUGGGCAACCUGCCUGUAAGACGGGGAUAACUCCGGGAAACCGGGGCUAAUACCGGAUAAUAUCUUUCUUCGCAUGAAGGAAGGUUGAAAGGCGGCGCAAGCUGCCGCUUGCAGAUGGGCCCGCGGCGCAUUAGCUAGUUGGUGAGGUAACGGCUCACCAAGGCGACGAUGCGUAGCCGAACUGGGAGGGUGAUCGGCCACACUGGGACUGAGACACGGCCCAGACUCCUACGGGAGGUAGCAGUAGGGAAUCGUCCGCAAUGGACGAAAGUCUGACGGAGCAACGCCGCGUGAGCGAAGAAGGUCUUCGGAUCGUAAAGCUCUGUUGUCAGGGAAGAACAAGUACCGUUCGAAUAGGGCGGUACCUUGACGGUACCUGACCAGAAAGCCACGGCUAACUACGUGCCAGCCGCCGCCGUAA